This 438-nucleotide ribosomal RNA is filed under the name uncultured bacterium. RNAcentral describes it as "bacterial SSU rRNA". It matches the Rfam family "Bacterial small subunit ribosomal RNA", at positions 957 to 1393 of the family's 1533-position model. The record is from RNAcentral.
UAACGCGAAGAACCUUACCAGCCCUUGACAUGGGCGUCGCGGGCGCAGAGAUGCGCCUUUCGGUUCGGCCGGACGCCGCACAGGUGCUGCAUGGCUGUCGUCAGCUCGUGUCGUGAGAUGUUGGGUUAAGUCCCGCAACGAGCGCAACCCCCAUCUUCAGUUGCCAUCAGGUAACGCUGGGCACUCUGGGGAAACCGCCGGUGACAAGCCGGAGGAAGGCGGGGAUGACGUCAAGUCCUCAUGGCCCUUAUGGGCUGGGCUACACACGUGCUACAAUGGUGGUGACAGUGGGCAGCGAGAUCGCGAGAUCGAGCCAAUCUCCAAAAGCCAUCUCAGUUCGGAUCGCACUCUGCAACUCGGGUGCGUGAAGUUGGAAUCGCUAGUAAUCGCGGAUCAGCACGCCGCGGUGAAUACGUUCCCGGGUCUUGUACACACCGA